UCUCACCCGCUUCGAUUCCCCAACUUCCCAAAUCAUGAGCUCGAAGCACGGAUCAGAUCGCCGAGUCGCGCGCCGCCUCGCCCCGCUCCACUCCACUUCGUCCGGAGCCUCAGGUUGACGUUCAAGCCAUACGUGAAAAAUCUGUACUCAACUUGUGAUAAACAAGUAUAAUGAGCAUCAGAUACCAUUAUCAAGACAAUUCGUUGCUAAACAUCUUUCCAGAGAAGCAUGGAGAUGAUCAUUUUGUUAGGUUACAAGCACUGCUAUGUUUUUUUUUUUUGCGAGAGGUUCUCACCAUUUGAGUUAUCUUUUCAUGUAUAUCAGAUGAACAAAUUUUGACAUCACGAGACAGUUUUCCCUUGUAAUAAACAUAUUUUCCAUAUAUUUUUUUUGACUUGUGUAGCUUAAUUGUCUUAUGUAUACUUGGCAUUUCAAGUAGACAGAUGAGACAUUUUCCAGUUUCCUCUACCUUUUUUCAUGUCUGUGAUAGCUGAAUUCACAAGUUACCUUUGAUCUAA
Molecule: long non-coding RNA, 518 nt
Organism: Lolium rigidum
Lineage: Eukaryota; Viridiplantae; Streptophyta; Magnoliopsida; Poales; Poaceae
Exons: 3
Source: RefSeq, a predicted model, not a curated record